RNAcentral lists this ribosomal RNA (465 nucleotides) under uncultured bacterium. RNAcentral's name for it is "partial 16S ribosomal RNA". It matches the Rfam family "Bacterial small subunit ribosomal RNA", at positions 339 to 795 of the family's 1533-position model. The record is from RNAcentral.
CUACGGGGUGCACCAGUGAGGGAUUUUGCGCAAUGGGGGAAACCCUGACGCAGCAACGCCGCGUGAGUGAAGAAGGCCUUUGGGUCGUAAAGCUCUGUCAACAGGGAAGAAGUUAUUUGAUUUAAAUAGGAUCAAGUAUUGACGGUACCUGUGGAGGAAGCAUCGGCUAACUCCGUGCCAGCAGCCGCGGUAAUACGGGGGAUGCAAGCGUUAUUCGGAAUUAUUGGGCGUAAAGGGCACGCAGGCGGCCUUUUCAGUCAGAUGUGAAAGCCCGGGGCUCAACCCCGGCAGUGCAUUUGAAACAGAAAGGCUUGAGUACGGUAGAGGAGAGGGGAAUUCCUGGUGUAGAGGUGAAAUUCGUAGAUAUCAGGAGGAACACCGGUGGCGAAGGCGCCUCUCUGGGCCUGUACUGACGCUGAGGUGCGAAGGCGUGGGUAGCGAACAGGAUUAGAUACCCGCGUAGUC